Long non-coding RNA from Rosa chinensis, 1073 nucleotides. RefSeq lists it as uncharacterized. The record is from RefSeq and is a predicted model, not a curated record. NCBI's taxonomy places the organism in Eukaryota, Viridiplantae, Streptophyta, Magnoliopsida, Rosales, Rosaceae. The transcript has 2 exons.
CUCAAAAACAUCAAUUUCUUUUUUAUUAUACCAAUUUUGCCCUCAACUCUCUCUCUCUCUCUCUGGCGUUGCCGAUCUGGAAUGCCGAAGUCGACGAUCUCAGGCUGUAAGCCGCCGACGACACUCUCGUUCGCCUACGAACCAAACCGAGCGACGGAAGCGUUGGUUGUCCAACGUCGUUGAUCCAGCUUAUCGGCUCAUCUCCGGUGGCGCCACUCAUCUUUUUACCUCUUUCUUCUCCCGAUGAAUUUCGUCAAUACCUUACCGGUGCCGAAUGUCCAGCCAUCACGGUCAGUCUCUAUUAUCUCUAUAUUAGGGUUUUGAGUUGAAAUUUCUAGGGUUAAUUUGAAAUUGGAUUCAAUUGGGGCAUUGGAUCUGACGAUUUGUGUAUAUUCAUUAAUUGAUGGGAGCAUUGGUUGAUUGAUAUUUCUGUGUGAAGUUUUAUAGAUUACUGUUUAUAAAAUUAUGACUACUGAGCUAUUCUAAUCUACACAAAUGAACGAGAUGCAAAGACCAAGGUGUAGUUAUGAAGCUAAAAAGCCGAGCGAGAGUCGGACUUCUCUCCAUGAUCAGUUUAAGCGGGCCUAUGUAGCCAAAGAAGUUUUGCCAGGAAAGGGAAUCAGCAUUAAAUUCUGAUUAAAUGAUCUUGGUUUGGUUAAUCUUAGUUUACUGUACGUUGGAGUUGCUCAGAAUUCUUCCCCUUUGCGUUGGCAAUGGUUGAUUCCGAAAAUCAUGUGAACUUGAGUAGUGGAUCCUUCAUUGACCAAGAGAUCAUCCGGCCAACCAGGAAAUUUUGAAAUGAAGCUUGGUGCUGUAGGUGGCAAAAUAAUAUUCUUAUGGUUAGUGUAGUGUGGUAGAGCUUGACAACAAGAAACUUCAACGGAGGCCAUUUGAAAAAUGAUAGUAGCAUUACAACAUUGACAAUAGCUUUAUACAACUAUUGUAAUAGCUUUUCACAACAAUGGUAGUGACUUUUUACAACUAUUGAAGUAGUUUUUUACAUAGAUAUAUCAUUGUUGAACCCUGGAUACUUUUUGUUGCAUUGAAUAUGAUUUCUUUCCUCGAUUGUAGUA